CCUACGGGAGGCAGCAGUGAGGAAUAUUGGACAAUGGGGGCGAGCCUGAAGCAGCGAAGCAGCGUGAAGGAUGAAUGCCCUACGGGUUGAAAACUUCAUUUAUAAAGGAAUAAAGUGCGGCACGUGUGCCUUUUUGUAUGUACUUUAUGAAUAAGGAUCGGCUAACUCCGUGCCAGCAGCCGCGGUAAUACGGAGGGGGCGAGCGUUAAGCGGAUUUACUGGGUGUAAAGCGCUCGUAGGCGGUAUGGCAAGUCAAGGGUGAAAUCCCCGCGCUCAACGUGGGAACUGCCGUUGAAACUGGCAAACUGGAGUGUGUGAGAGGAUAGUGGAAUUCCAGGUGUAGGGGUGAAAUGCGUAGAUAUCUGGAGGAACAUCAGUGGCGAAGGCGACUAACUGGAACAUAACUGACGCUGAGGCGCGAAAGCGUGGGUAGCAAACAGGAUUAGAUACCCCUGUAGUC
RNAcentral lists this ribosomal RNA (460 nucleotides) under uncultured bacterium. RNAcentral's name for it is "partial 16S ribosomal RNA". It matches the Rfam family "Bacterial small subunit ribosomal RNA", at positions 338 to 795 of the family's 1533-position model. The record is from RNAcentral.